RNAcentral lists this transfer RNA (76 nucleotides) under Alphaproteobacteria bacterium. Its description in RNAcentral is "tRNA-Ala". It matches the Rfam family "tRNA". Rfam says of the family: Transfer RNA (tRNA) molecules are approximately 80 nucleotides in length. Their secondary structure includes four short double-helical elements and three loops (D, anti-codon, and T loops). RNAcentral also lists the same sequence under 2 other names. The record is from RNAcentral. Lineage: Bacteria; Pseudomonadati; Pseudomonadota; Alphaproteobacteria.
GGGGCCGUAGCUCAGUUGGGAGAGCGCCUGCUUUGCAAGCAGGAGGUCGUCGGUUCGAUCCCGAUCGGCUCCACCA